Molecule: transfer RNA, 69 nt
Filed under: Casuarius casuarius (southern cassowary)
Lineage: Eukaryota; Metazoa; Chordata; Aves; Casuariiformes; Casuariidae
Description: tRNA-Ala
Rfam family: tRNA
About the family: Transfer RNA (tRNA) molecules are approximately 80 nucleotides in length. Their secondary structure includes four short double-helical elements and three loops (D, anti-codon, and T loops).
Source: RNAcentral
GAGGCCUUAGCUUAAUUAAAGUACCUGACUUGCACUCAGGAGAUACAGGUUAAUAUCCUGUUGGUCUUA